This 253-nucleotide ribosomal RNA is filed under the name uncultured bacterium. RNAcentral describes it as "partial 16S ribosomal RNA". It matches the Rfam family "Bacterial small subunit ribosomal RNA", at positions 524 to 776 of the family's 1533-position model. The record is from RNAcentral.
UCCGUAGGGUGCGAGCGUUGUCCGGAAUUAUUGGGCGUAAAGAGCUCGUAGGCGGUUUGUCGCGUCGGAUGUGAAAGCCCGGGGCUUAACUCCGGGUCUGCAUUCGAUACGGGCAGGCUAGAGUUCGGUAGGGGAGAUCGGAAUUCCUGGUGUAGCGGUGAAAUGCGCAGAUAUCAGGAGGAACACCGGUGGCGAAGGCGGUUCUCUGGGCCUUACCUGACGCUGAGGAGCGAAAGCGUGGGGAGCAAACAGG